AAGUCGUAACAAGGUUUCCGUAGGUGAACCUGCGGAAGGAUCAUUAGAAAUUUUUAUGUAUUCAAAAAUUUUUUCAAUCUUUUAAAUUAUUUAUGUUAAAUAUGAUAAUCAUGAGACAACUUUCAACAACGGAUCUCUUGGCUCUU
This 146-nucleotide unclassified non-coding RNA is filed under the name fungal sp. RNAcentral describes it as "partial internal transcribed spacer region". The stretch from base 1 to 46 matches the Rfam family "Eukaryotic small subunit ribosomal RNA", at positions 1786 to 1831 of the family's 1831-position model. Lineage: Eukaryota; Fungi. The record is from RNAcentral.